GAAAGAUAUUCAUUUCCGAAUCCUCAGAAUCUGUGGACAUGUUACCUUACAUGGUAAAAGGGACUUUGCAGAUGUGGUUAUGCCUUGAGUUGGGGAGAUUAUGUUGGGUCAUUUGAGUAAACCCAAUCUUAUACCAUGAGUCCUUAAAAACAGAGAAAACUUUUCUUUGUGUAGUGAGAAGGAUAUAUGGCUACAGAAAGAUGAUCAGAGGGGUUCAGGGGUGCAACAUUGUUGUCUUUGAAGAUGGAGGAAAGGGGCCAUAUGAGAAGUUUCUACAAGCAGAAAAAGAAACUCAAUUAUACAGCCAAGAGGAUGUUUAUGCUCCAAUGAAUUGAAAGUCAAGAAGAAAAAUGCCACAGUAUUAAUGCAAGCUUUUUAUUUAAGCACUGAUGUUUUUUUA
This 400-nucleotide long non-coding RNA is filed under the name Mustela putorius furo (domestic ferret). RNAcentral's name for it is "lncRNA (ENSMPUG00000032084.1)". The record is from RNAcentral. Lineage: Eukaryota; Metazoa; Chordata; Mammalia; Carnivora; Mustelidae.